UCUGAUAACUAAAGUUGUUUCCACUGAUUAAAACUCUACUUUUUAGGAGAGGGUAACACCAUUACCAUUGUUCUUUCUUAAACAACAACAACAACAACAA
Non-coding RNA from Camelina sativa (false flax), 100 nucleotides. NCBI's taxonomy places the organism in Eukaryota, Viridiplantae, Streptophyta, Magnoliopsida, Brassicales, Brassicaceae. The record is from RefSeq and is a predicted model, not a curated record.